Molecule: unclassified non-coding RNA, 324 nt
Filed under: soil metagenome
Description: partial contains 5.8S ribosomal RNA, internal transcribed spacer 2, and large subunit ribosomal RNA
Rfam family: 5.8S ribosomal RNA (bases 1-120)
Source: RNAcentral
GAUGAAGAACGUAGCGAAAUGCGAUAAGUAGUGUGAAUUGCAGAAUUCAGUGAAUCAUCGAAUCUUUGAACGCACAUUGCGCCCCUUGGUAUUCCAUGGGGCAUGCCUGUUCGAGCGUCAUUUGUACCUUCAAGCUUUUCUUGGUGUUGGGUGUUUGUCCCUCGGGACUCGCCUUAAAGUCAUUGGCAGCCAGUGUUUUGGUUUUGAAGCGCAGCACAAGUCGCGAUUCAAGGCUAUCCGCCCGCUUCCACAAGCCUUUUUCACUUUUGACCUCGGAUCAGGUAGGGAUACCCGCUGAACUUAAGCAUAUCAAUAAGCGGAGGA